RNAcentral lists this ribosomal RNA (143 nucleotides) under uncultured eukaryote. RNAcentral's name for it is "partial 18S ribosomal RNA". It matches the Rfam family "Eukaryotic small subunit ribosomal RNA", at positions 1299 to 1458 of the family's 1831-position model. The record is from RNAcentral.
UGGUGGAGUGAUUUGUCUGGUUAAUUCCGUUAACGAACGAGACCUCGACCUGCUAAAUAGUUUGGUGAAUUCUCCGGGAUUCAUUUACAACUUCUUAGAGGGACUAUUGGUGAUUUAGCCAAUGGAAGUUCGAGGCAAUAACA